ACCGGCGGCUCGAGUGGUGGCCACUAUUACUGGGCUUAAAGCGUUCGUAGCUGGCUUGUUAAGUCUCUGGGGAAAUCUUCCGGCUCAACCGGAAGGCGUCUCAGGGAUACUGGCAGGCUAGGGACCGGAAGAGGUGAGAGGUACCCCAAGGGUAGGAGUGAAAUCCUGGAAUCCUGGGGGGACCACCUGUGGCGAAGGCGGCUCACCGGAACGGAUCCGACAGUGAGGAACGAAAGCUAGGGGAGCAAACCG
Molecule: ribosomal RNA, 252 nt
Filed under: uncultured prokaryote
Description: partial 16S rRNA
Rfam family: Archaeal small subunit ribosomal RNA
Source: RNAcentral